This is a long non-coding RNA of Oncorhynchus tshawytscha (Chinook salmon), 684 nucleotides long. The record is from Ensembl. Lineage: Eukaryota; Metazoa; Chordata; Actinopteri; Salmoniformes; Salmonidae.
CCCCUCUCGUUGACUAGCUCAGUGCUGCCCCCUCUCGUUGAUUAACUCUAGUUGAAGGCUUACCGGUGUACUGCAGGCUAGCUCAGUGCUGCCCCCUCUCGUUGAUUAACUCUAGUUGAAGGCUGACUGGGGUACUGCAGGCUAGCUCAGUGCUGCCCCCUCUCGUUGACUAGCUCAGUGCUGCCCCCUCUCGUUGACUAGCUCAGUGCUGCCCCCUCUCGUUGACUAGCUCAGUGCUGCCCCCUCUCGUUGACUAGCUCAGUGCUGCCCCCUCUCGUUGACUAGCUCAGUGCUGCCCCCUCUCGUUGAUUAACUCUAGUUGAAGGCUGACCGGGGUACUGCAGGCUAGCUCAGUGCUGCCCCCUCUCAUUGACUAGCUCAGUGCUGCCCCCUCUCGUUGACUAGCUCAGUGCUGCCCCCUCUCAUUGAUUAACUCUAGUUGAAGGCUGACCGGGGUACUGCAGGCUAGCUCAGUGCUGCCCCCUCUCGUUGACUAGCUCAGUGCUGCCCCCUCUCGUUGACUAGCUCAGUGCUGCCCCCUCUCGUUGACUAGCUCAGUGCUGCCCCCUCUCGUUGACUAGCUCAGUGCUGCCCCUCUCGUUGACUAGCUCAGUGCUGCCCCCUCUCGUUGAUUAACUCUAGUUGAAGGCUGAUUGGGGUAUUGCAGACUAGCUCAGUGCUGCC